Molecule: long non-coding RNA, 511 nt
Filed under: Hordeum vulgare
Lineage: Eukaryota; Viridiplantae; Streptophyta; Magnoliopsida; Poales; Poaceae
Description: long non-coding RNA (HVUL_LNC002783)
Source: RNAcentral
CGGAGGCCCCGCCAGAGGCAGAGCGGCGUGGAGGCGUUCCAGGUGGCUAGCUGCGCGUUGCCGGCGGCGGCAUUGCCCUGCAGCGCCGGCUUCAGCUUGUCGACGACGAGCGCGACGUCUCCCGCGGCCCCGGCGACGGACAGCGGGGUGCAGAGCAGGAAGAAGCCGGCGACGAGGAGGUACGAGUAGCUUGGUAGCGCGCGCAUCUUGUGUGGAGCACUGUGCAGGGGGGGUCUAUGGCUUGGCUAGCUGAAUCUGAAUGGAGCUGGAGUGGGCAAGUGAAGUGAAGUAGAGCAAGAAAGAAAGAAGAAAGCGAGGCAGGGCAGCUUGGUCGGUCGUCUCGUCUCAGUCUCGUCUCGUCCUUGUGAAUGUUCUCUCUUUAGACGGCUAGCUUUCCACGCACACCACGCCAGCGGCUGCUAGUGGCGACGCGAGCGGGCCUGCUGCAUGCUGCAUGCUGACUGACGCGCGCACAAUUUCUUUCAUUUUGAUUUUCGAGGAUGGGAACGGA